UGGGGCGUGGCCAAGUGGUAAGGCAACGGGUUUUGGUCUCGUGAUCCCAGGUUCGAAUCCUGCGCCCCAGCCA
RNAcentral lists this transfer RNA (73 nucleotides) under Methyloligella halotolerans. RNAcentral describes it as "tRNA-Gln". It matches the Rfam family "tRNA". From Rfam's summary of the family: Transfer RNA (tRNA) molecules are approximately 80 nucleotides in length. Their secondary structure includes four short double-helical elements and three loops (D, anti-codon, and T loops). Lineage: Bacteria; Pseudomonadati; Pseudomonadota; Alphaproteobacteria; Hyphomicrobiales; Hyphomicrobiaceae. The record is from RNAcentral.